UACGGAGGGUGCAAGCGUUAAUCGGAAUUACUGGGCGUAAAGGGUGCGUAGGUGGUUUGUUAAGUUAUCUGUGAAAUCCCUGGGCUCAACCUGGGCAGGUCAGAUAAGACUGAUGAACUCGAGUAUAGGAGAGGGUAGUGGAAUUUCCGGUGUAGCGGUGAAAUGCGUAGAGAUCGGAAGGAACACCAGUGGCGAAGGCGGCUACCUGGCCUAAUACUGACACUGAGGCACGAAAGCGUGGGGAGCAAACAGG
This 253-nucleotide ribosomal RNA is filed under the name uncultured bacterium. RNAcentral describes it as "partial 16S ribosomal RNA". It matches the Rfam family "Bacterial small subunit ribosomal RNA", at positions 524 to 776 of the family's 1533-position model. The record is from RNAcentral.